Molecule: non-coding RNA, 31 nt
Filed under: Mus musculus (house mouse)
Lineage: Eukaryota; Metazoa; Chordata; Mammalia; Rodentia; Muridae
Source: RNAcentral
UGCAAGAAUGUGCUGUGAAGAGAAAAGCCCU